Molecule: ribosomal RNA, 405 nt
Filed under: uncultured bacterium
Lineage: Bacteria
Description: bacterial SSU rRNA
Rfam family: Bacterial small subunit ribosomal RNA
Source: RNAcentral
AAUCAACGCUGGCGGCGUGCCUAAUACAUGCAAGUCGAACGCGAAAGUCCCGCAAGGGGGCAAGUAGAGUGGCAAACGGGUGAGUAACGCGUGGGCGACCUACCUUCGAGUGGGGGAUAACCUUCCGAAAGGAGGGCUAAUACCGCAUGACAUCCCGUGUUUGGAUACACGGACAUCAAAGUCGGGGAUCGCAAGACCUGACGCUUGGAGAGGGGGCCCGCGUCCGAUUAGCUAGUUGGUGGGGAACGGCCCACCAAGGCUUCGAUCGGUAUCCGGCCUGAGAGGGCGGACGGACACACUGGGACUGAGACACGGCCCAGACUCCUACGGGAGGGCAGCAGUAGGGAAUUGUUCGCAAUGGGCGCAAGCCUGACGACGCAACGCCGCGUGGAGGAUGAAGACCUC